GACGAACGCUGGCGGCGUGCUUAACACAUGCAAGUCGAACGGAAAGGCCCUGCUUUUGUGGGGUGCUCGAGUGGCGAACGGGUGAGUAACACGUGAGUAACCUGCCCUUGACUUUGGGAUAACUUCAGGAAACUGGUGCUAAUACCGGAUAGGAGCUCCUGCUGCAUGGUGGGGGUUGGAAAGUUUCGGCGGUUGGGGAUGGACUCGCGGCUUAUCAGCUUGUUGGUGGGGUAGUGGCUUACCAAGGCUUUGACGGGUAGCCGGCCUGGGAGGGUGACCGGCCACAUUGGGACGGAGAUACGGCCCAGACUCCUACGGGAGGCAGCAGAGGGGAAUAGUGCACUAUGGGCGGAAGCCUGAUGCGGCAACGCCGCGUGCGGGAUGACGGCCUUCGGGUUGUAAACCGCUUUCGCCUGUGACGAAGCGUGAGUGACGGUAAUGGGUAAAGAAGCACCGGCUAACUACGUG
RNAcentral lists this ribosomal RNA (468 nucleotides) under uncultured bacterium. Its description in RNAcentral is "partial 16S ribosomal RNA". It matches the Rfam family "Bacterial small subunit ribosomal RNA", at positions 28 to 507 of the family's 1533-position model. The record is from RNAcentral.